RNAcentral lists this ribosomal RNA (253 nucleotides) under uncultured bacterium. RNAcentral describes it as "partial 16S ribosomal RNA". It matches the Rfam family "Bacterial small subunit ribosomal RNA", at positions 524 to 776 of the family's 1533-position model. The record is from RNAcentral.
UACAGAGGCUGCAAGCGUUAUUCGGAUUCACUGGGCGUAAAGGGUGCGCAGGCGGUUGGGUGUGUCAGAUGUGAAAUCCCGAGGCUUAACCUCGGAACUGCGUCUGAAACUACUCGACUAGAGUACUGGAGAGGGUAACGGAAUUCACGGUGUAGCAGUGAAAUGCGUAGAUAUCAAAAGGAACACCUGAGGUGAAGACGGGUUGCUGGGCUGACACUGACGCUGAGGCGCGAAAGCCAGGGGAGCAAACGGG